AUCAUGAUGAAUGUCAUCUAUUUAAAAUCAUGCAACAUUUACUAACAUAUGCUUGAUCCUAAUUUUGUGAAAACAUAAAUAAUCAAAUACAAUUUUAUGAUCAAAUAUAAGACUAUAUCAGGGUCGCUUACCUUAAUUUGCUCACCAAAUGCCAAUUCUCUAAUAUCUAGCAAGAUCAUUAAAUUACAUGUCACUUGCACAUUUGAUUUCUAUUUAUUUAUAAUCUUAAAGUCAUUUGCAGCCCAUCCAUAGGACUCAAUUUUAUUUUCGGAUCCAUACCCACUAGCAUGGGACUUACAUAGCAAUCUGGGAGCUUUUAAAUUAUAUCAUUUCUUUCAUAAAUCUUAUUUCAUAGAUACAUUAAAAGGUGAAUAAUGGCAUCAUAUGAAAUUCAUGAUCAUGCUAUAAACUUUAAUUUUUGUGCUAGCUUUUAUAUCAUUCAUAAAUUAUGUACAUAGCAUGAUAAUCAUGAUGAAUGUCAUCUAUUUAAAAUCAUGCAACAUUUGCUAACACAUGCUUGAUCCUAAUU
Molecule: long non-coding RNA, 529 nt
Filed under: Phoenix dactylifera (date palm)
Lineage: Eukaryota; Viridiplantae; Streptophyta; Magnoliopsida; Arecales; Arecaceae
Description: long non-coding RNA (PDAC_LNC021824)
Source: RNAcentral